GUCGUUUUCCAAAAUUAUAGGAGUGAAUCACUCCCAUAAAUAAUAUUCCUAUAUAAAAUAAUAUAAAUAAUAUUCCUUUUGAAAAAAGUGUUUGCUAACAUCUCUCAUGUCUUGCGUUAAAAAAAAUGAGAUGCAUUAUCUAUAACCCUCUUCAGAAGUAAAAAGUGCAGUUUUUCCAAGUGCGUUCCAAGAGCGGGCAACAGUCAUCAGUGGAGAUACUGUGGAAAUGUGCCUUGUGCCAAUAAAUGCAUCUCAUGUUUCAUCCAAAUGAUUGAGUAUUAAAAAGCAGCUUUUAGUUAUUAUGGGGCGGUCGACAGAACUAUAUUUGAAACAACCGUAAUAACCGUAAAUGUGGCCUCCUAAUAAGGACUCUGGAAUUCUUGAAAAAAUUUGAACAAUCGAUUCUAACCUCCACGAUAGUCAUUAUUUCGUUCAUUUCUGCAGUGGGCCCCAACCCUCCUCGACAGAAGGCAUCCUCCUGUUAUGGGCAAGAGAAAUUAUGCCAAUAAAUCGGACAAUUCGAAAAAUUAAGUGUGACUUUCAGGGUGGCUAUCAUUAAUCUCUGACUUUCUUCAUCAUCCUCUGCCUUCAAGGAACAGCAAGAAGGGAUUCCAUACUUUGAAUUGUUUCGUGUUUUGUGAUUAGGCUCUAUCAAAUUACAAAAAUGCAUUUUUGUUUAAUAUGGGUCGUCGGCAUUAUUAAUGUUGAAUGUAAAUAAGUCUAGAAAAUUCAAUGCAAAUAAAUAUUAAUUUAUGAUUCUUGUUUAAA
Molecule: long non-coding RNA, 768 nt
Organism: Episyrphus balteatus (marmalade hoverfly)
Lineage: Eukaryota; Metazoa; Arthropoda; Insecta; Diptera; Syrphidae
Exons: 2
Source: RefSeq, a predicted model, not a curated record